This is a long non-coding RNA of Malania oleifera, 1983 nucleotides long. RefSeq lists it as uncharacterized. The transcript has 2 exons. NCBI's taxonomy places the organism in Eukaryota, Viridiplantae, Streptophyta, Magnoliopsida, Santalales, Ximeniaceae. The record is from RefSeq and is a predicted model, not a curated record.
UGCUUUCCCACGUCUUCAAAUUUAUCAUAUAACCAUUGCGAGUCCACCUCUCAAAUUCUAGUCAUAGCUAGAAUUUGCUUUAGCUACGUCAAUCCACGGCGGCGCGCGGCGGCCCCACCACCACCAGCAGCUAGCAGCAACUGAUGAUCGUUGAGCAGAUAUAUAGAAGUCCCCGCAGAUGAAGAUGAAUAAGUGCUUGGGCGCCAGUUAUUUGUCCAAGCCGCAAAGCAUCGGCGCCGUCGUCCUUCUUCUACUGUUAGCACUGUUCCCGGCAGAACGUGGAGUCCUGUGUGCUUCCUCUUCCUCUUCCUCAAUCAUCAACUCCAUCCCCGGAUUUUCCGGCCCUCUCCCUUUCAAACUACAGACUGGGCAUGUGGGAGUGGGGGAGAAUGAAGAGGUUCAGCUUUUCUACUACUUUGUGGAGUCAGAAGGGAACCCUGGGGAAGACCCCCUUCUGCUUUGGUUCGCCGGAGGCCCUGGCUGCUCUGGCCUCUCCGCACUUGCGAUAGAGAUAGGUACGUCUUUAUUCAUUCAUUCAUUCAUUCAUUCACUCAGUCAUUCAUUCAUUCAUUCAUUCAUUCAUUAUUAUUUUUCCUUUAGUGGGCUACACAUAUCCAUCACUGGCCUAUAUUGAUGCUAAUUACUCAUAAAAUCAUAGUAAUUUAAUUUGAUCUCUCUAUAUCAUGAUAUGUGCAUGGUUCUCCACAUCCUUGAGAAAGGAGAGAAUCCUGAGAAUUGGAAGGGAUGAAAUAAAAUUUUCACUUAAUUUUAUCAUACAUUACAUUUAAUUUUUUUUUUUUUUUUAUCCCAUUUCAUUUCAUAAGUAAGUAUAUCAUAAGAAAUGCCUACAAUUCUCUCCUCCCAAUUUAAACUAUGCUAAUUAAUUGAUUCCAUUAUUUUACAUAAAUUUUUGGGCUUAUUCAUUGGUUGCUAUGACAGGUAUGUCUAACCAAUGUUAUGCAUAUCCACAUGCAUAAUUGGCAAUAAUGUUGUUGACAAUCACAAAUGAUGUGAGAUAACAAUCAAAUACUUGGCAGAGCUAGGGUGAGGCAAUUAGGAGGGCAUUAUUAAUUCAAUUUUGGGUGGUGGGGGUGUCCUUGUAGAGGAAUAGGGGUUAAGCUUCCAAUUUUAUGUGGAUAUUAAUCCAAUAAAUUAUAUAUAUAUAUAUAUAUAUAUCAUUUUUUUUAACAAAAAAUAAAGUAGUUAAUAUUUUUGUAUAGUUAUAGAUAGCAUAAUGCAAUAUAUAUGGUGCUAGUAAUAAAUUACAGAAGGUAUUUUCAAAUAUACUAUAGAAAAUAAUUUUAAAAUAACUUUUUAAUAUUCAAGUGCUAGAAUAUUUGAUAUUAAUUAGAACUAAGUGUUAAACAUCAUGUUAAAUUCUCUCUAGAUAUCAAUAUUAUACACACACGAGUCCUUUAAGCAAAAGAAGAAACUGAGCAGUUAUUGAUCGAUGACUGGAAUAGUAUGGGAGCAUUAGCACCUCUAUCAUAUAAGAUUAAAGAAAAAGAGAAGAGGUAAGGAGAAAUCUCCUCAAUCUUAUAGAUUUUUGUUGGGGAUGUGGCUCAUUUUGAGUGGAAUGCAUGUACCGGGAAAGCAUCGUGAGUGAAGAACAAGGAAGCUGGUUGCAGCAACAAUUAACGGUUUCCCUAUAACUGUUGACGAUUUUAGUUCAUUCUGUAAGAUUCAACUCUCAGCAUAAAAUUGUUGACGGUUUGGUUGUAAUUGUCGAUGGUUUCGUUCGGUGCAAGUUACAUUUUUUUUAAUUUUGUGAUCAGUAGAUUGGGGGAUUUGGAGGAUUUUCCUCUAGAAAUUGCUAUACGAGUGAUUUAGAUAGGUACUAAGACUUCUUUAUGUAUAAGGGUUCAUUUAUAUGUAUUAUUUUGAAACCCUUGAUGUAAGCUUGACAUUGUGAUAGUGAAAAUUCAGUCAUUGCUCCUAUGGACAUAGGCACAUUACCGAACUACGUAAAUCUUAUUUCUUUGA